AUUCUUCCAAACAGAACUGAUCUGGCAUGAAGGAGAGAGAAGAGGUGUAUGAGUGAAAUUCAUCUGACAAGAAAAAGAAAGCAAGAGAGGUUAUGCUUAUAUUUCUCCAGGACAAAAUCAACAGCCAAUUUGGAUACCAUCAAGACACCUGAAACCUUAUCAUGAGCCAGAUGCCGAGGAAGAGACUCCAGGAAGAUCCCAAGGACACCCCAGUUGCAGCCAUGUCGAGACUGAUGCUGAGGAGGACCCCAACUGUCACGAGCAACACCCGUCGAACACAGCCACCCACCUGUGGACAGAUCAAGAAGCUGUCACAGAUGGCGGAAGAAAACCUGAGGAAAGCGGGACAAACAGUCACAAUGAAUAAUUUAAUCGUAGCUAUGAUAGCGGUUAUCACCACUGCCAUGAGUAAUCCUUCAAUAAGGACUGGCAAUAAUGCCUGGAUGCAAUCACUCUAUGACACAGUUACACAUACUUUCUGAUCUCAGUAUUUACCAUAAUAAAUCUGCUCCUAUCAUUGAGGCAUACCACCCUCAAAAAACUAUUUGUAAACAGGAUUGGACCCAGUUAGAAAAAAUGAAUGUACUUGUUUAGGAAGAUUGCUUUGCAGAACAGGCAGAGGUGCUGCACAAUGAUUCCUAUGGAAUCAUUAUUAAUUGGUCCCCUAAGGGGAUGUUUAGCUUGAUUUGCACCUCUCAGUCUGCAUGCCAUGGUCACACUAUGUUCAGAUGAUCUGAACAAAAUGGUCAGAUGGUAGAAAUGAUAAGAAGUACGGCAAAAGUUCCUGUUAUCUGUAACCAUGAUGGUAUAGUGGCACCUCAACCUCAAAUGAUAUGGCCCGCUCUAGGAG
Molecule: long non-coding RNA, 850 nt
Filed under: Homo sapiens (human)
Lineage: Eukaryota; Metazoa; Chordata; Mammalia; Primates; Hominidae
Description: non-protein coding lnc-APPL2-1:3
Source: RNAcentral